GCAGGAGUGGCGGAAUUGGUAGACGCGCUAGAUUCAGGAUCUAGUGAGCUAAUUUGCUUGUGGGGGUUCGAGUCCCCCCUUCUGCACCA
RNAcentral lists this transfer RNA (89 nucleotides) under Candidatus Cloacimonadota bacterium. Its description in RNAcentral is "tRNA-Leu". It matches the Rfam family "tRNA". From Rfam's summary of the family: Transfer RNA (tRNA) molecules are approximately 80 nucleotides in length. Their secondary structure includes four short double-helical elements and three loops (D, anti-codon, and T loops). RNAcentral also lists the same sequence under 1 other name. The record is from RNAcentral. Lineage: Bacteria; Pseudomonadati; Candidatus Cloacimonadota.